ACGGGUGGUGUCGGCGUUUGCAUCUUUUAAGAAACUAAAUGACUCUCGGCAACGGAUAUCUCGGCUCUUGCAUCGAUGAAGAACGUAGCGAAAUGCGAUACUUGGUGUGAAUUGCAGAAUCCCGUGAACCAUCGAGUCUUUGAACGCAAGUUGCGCCUGAAGCCA
This 165-nucleotide ribosomal RNA is filed under the name Chimaphila umbellata. Its description in RNAcentral is "5.8S ribosomal RNA". The stretch from base 41 to 165 matches the Rfam family "5.8S ribosomal RNA", at positions 1 to 125 of the family's 154-position model. From Rfam's summary of the family: 5.8S ribosomal RNA (5.8S rRNA) is a component of the large subunit of the eukaryotic ribosome. It is transcribed by RNA polymerase I as part of the 45S precursor that also contains 18S and 28S rRNA. Lineage: Eukaryota; Viridiplantae; Streptophyta; Magnoliopsida; Ericales; Ericaceae. The record is from RNAcentral.